GCGGAAAGAAGCUAUCUGAGAACCACCUUUGUUUACCAUGUUCAGGGUGUAAUCAGCACAUUCCCUCUGCAAGACUUUAUCACCACCGACGGCUAUGCAUUCGAGCAGGUACAGGAAAGGCAUCAAAAGGUGCAAAGAUCCCCACUCGACAACCGUCUUCAGAUCAACCAGGGAACGUGAACCCACAUCGUCCUCUCUCACCUCAACCAGGAUCGUCUAGAUCACUCUCACCUCAACCAGGCCCGUCUAGAAUAGUCUCACCUCAACCCGGUCCGUCAAGGGUUAUUACACCGGAACCACCGCGUGUUUAUGUGAAUAGAAAAAACGGUGAUAGCGACAGUGAAGUGCAUAGUGAAAGAGAAGACGAUGA
Molecule: long non-coding RNA, 370 nt
Organism: Penaeus indicus
Lineage: Eukaryota; Metazoa; Arthropoda; Malacostraca; Decapoda; Penaeidae
Exons: 3
Source: RefSeq, a predicted model, not a curated record